This 253-nucleotide ribosomal RNA is filed under the name uncultured bacterium. RNAcentral describes it as "partial 16S ribosomal RNA". It matches the Rfam family "Bacterial small subunit ribosomal RNA", at positions 524 to 776 of the family's 1533-position model. The record is from RNAcentral.
UACGUAGGGCGCAAGCGUUGUCCGGAAUUAUUGGGCGUAAAGAGCUCGUAGGCGGCCUGUCGCGUCUGCUGUGAAAUCCCGGGGCUUAACCCCGGGCGUGCAGUGGAUACGGGCUGGCUGGAGGCAGGCAGGGGAGAACGGAAUUCCCGGUGUAGCGGUGAAAUGCGCAGAUAUCGGGAGGAACACCGGUGGCGAAGGCGGCUCUCUGGGACGGUACUGACGCUGAGACGCGAAAGCGUGGGGAGCGAACAGG